UGGUCUGAGAGGAUGAUCAGUCACACUGGAACUGAGACACGGUCCAGACUCCUACGGGAGGCAGCAGUAGGGAAUAUUGCGCAAUGGGGGAAACCCUGACGCAGCAACGCCGCGUGGAGGAUGACACUUUUCGGAGCGUAAACUCCUUUUCUUAGGGAAGAAUUCUGACGGUACCUAAGGAAUAAGCACCGGCUAACUCCGUGCCAGCAGCCGCGGUAAUACGGAGGGUGCAAGCGUUACUCGGAAUCACUGGGCGUAAAGGGCGCGUAGGCGGAUUAUCAAGUCUCUUGUGAAAUCUAAUGGCUUAACCAUUAAACUGCUUGGGAAACUGAUAGUCUAGAGUGAGGGAGAGGCAGAUGGAAUUGGUGGUGUAGGGGUAAAAUCCGUAGAUAUCACCAAGAAUACCCAUUGCGAAGGCGAUCUGCUGGAACUCAACUGACGCUAAGGCGCGAAAGCGUGGGGAGCAAACAGGAUUAGAUACCCUGGUAGUCCACGCCCUAAACGAUGUACACUAGUUGUUGGGGUGCUAGUCAUCUCAGUAAUGCAGCUAACGCAUUAAGUGUACCGCCUGGGGAGUACGGUCGCAAGAUUAAAACUCAAAGGAAUAGACGGGGACCCGCACAAGCGGUGGAGCAUGUGGUUUAAUUCGAAGAUACGCGAAGAACCUUACCUGGGCUUGAUAUCCUAAGAACCUUUUAGAGAUAAGAGGGUGCUAGCUUGCUAGAACUUAGAGACAGGUGCUGCACGGCUGUCGUCAGCUCGUGUCGUGAGAUGUUGGGUUAAGUCCCGCAACGAGCGCAACCCACGUAUUUAGUUGCUAACGGUUCGGCCGAGCACUCUAAAUAGACUGCCUUCGUAAGGAGGAGGAAGGUGUGGACGACGUCAAGUCAUCAUGGCCCUUAUGCCCAGGGCGACACACGUGCUACAAUGGCAUAUACAAUGAGACGCAAUACCGCGAGGUGGAGCAAAUCUAUAAAAUAUGUCCCAGUUCGGAUUGUUCUCUGCAACUCGAGAGCAUGAAGCCGGAAUCGCUAGUAAUCGUAGAUCAGCCAUGCUACGGUGAAUACGUUCCCGGGUCUUGUACUCACCGCCCGUCACACCAUGGGAGUUGAUUUCACUCGAAGCCGGAAUACUAAACUAGUUACCGUCCACAGUGGAAUCAGCGACUGGGGUGAAGUCGUAACAAGGUAACCGUAGGAGAACCUGCGGUUGGAUCACCUCCUUUCUA
RNAcentral lists this ribosomal RNA (1228 nucleotides) under Campylobacter coli. RNAcentral describes it as "bacterial SSU rRNA". It matches the Rfam family "Bacterial small subunit ribosomal RNA", at positions 288 to 1533 of the family's 1533-position model. Lineage: Bacteria; Pseudomonadati; Campylobacterota; Epsilonproteobacteria; Campylobacterales; Campylobacteraceae. The record is from RNAcentral.